RNAcentral lists this Y RNA (102 nucleotides) under Microcebus murinus (gray mouse lemur). Its description in RNAcentral is "Y RNA (ENSMICG00000046452.1)". It matches the Rfam family "Y RNA". Rfam says of the family: Y RNAs are components of the Ro ribonucleoprotein particle (Ro RNP), in association with Ro60 and La proteins. The Y RNAs and Ro60 and La proteins are well conserved, but the function of the Ro RNP is not known. Lineage: Eukaryota; Metazoa; Chordata; Mammalia; Primates; Cheirogaleidae. The record is from Rfam by way of RNAcentral.
GGCUGGUCCGAGUGCAGUGGUGUUUACAACCGAUUGAGCGCAACCAGUUACAGAUUCCUGUGUUCCUUCUCCACCCCCACUGCUUCUCUUGACUAGCCUUGA